UCCAGACUCCUACGGGAGGCAGCAGUGGGGAAUAUUGCACAAUGGGGGAAACCCUGAUGCAGCGACGCCGCGUGAGUGAAGAAGUAUUUCGGUAUGUAAAGCUCUGUCAGCAGGAACGAGACAAGACGGUACCUGACUAAGAAGCCCCGGCUAACUACGUGCCAGCAGCCGCGGUAAUACGUAGGGGGCAAGCGUUAUCCGGAAUCACUGGGUGUAAAGGGAGCGUAGACGGCAUGGCAAGUCUGAAGUGAAAGCCCGGGGCGCAACCGCGGGACUGCUUUGGAAACUGUUAAGCUGGAGUGCAGGAGAGGUAAGUGGAAUUCCUAGUGUAGCGGUGAAAUGCGUAGAUAUUAGGAGGAACACCAGUGGCGAAGGCGGCUUACUGGACUGUAACUGACGUUGAGGCUCGAAAGCGUGGGGAGCAAACAGGAUUAGAUACCCCAGUACC
Molecule: ribosomal RNA, 448 nt
Filed under: uncultured bacterium
Lineage: Bacteria
Description: bacterial SSU rRNA
Rfam family: Bacterial small subunit ribosomal RNA
Source: RNAcentral